GGGGCACUGGAUUUUUUCCCCUCACAUUUUGACUAUUGUGAAUAGUGCUGCUGUGAACAUUCAUAUUCAAUUUUUUUGUUUGUUUGUUUUGGUUUGGUUUUUUUUUUUUUUUUGUGACUUGUUUUCAAUCUCUUGAGUAAAUACCUACAAAUACAAUUGCUAGGUCACAUAGUAACUAUACUACGUUUAACUUUCUAAGGUUAAACACCAAGCUGUUUUCCCACUUGAUAAGAUGUGGCUGCAUCACUUGACAUUCCCUGGACUAAUGUAUGUAGGUUCAAGUUUUUCCACACCUUGACAACACUUGUUAUUUUCCAUUUUUGUUGUUGUUACUGUGGUGAUUCUCUUAUCUUUCUUUUCCUUUUCCAUUUUGUAGCCACUCUGGUACAUGUGAAAUGGCAUUUCAUCAUGGUUUUCAUUUGUAUUACUCUAAUGAUGAUGAUGUUGACAUGUUUAUAUGUCCUUAUUAGCCACUAAGGCAUCUUCCAUGGAGUAAUGUCUAUUUUUAAAUUGUGCUUUUUUGCUCAUUUUUAUUGUCAAUAGCAAGAGUUCCAUAUAUACUCUGGAUAUAAGUCUAUUUAUUAGAUAUGUGGUAUACAAAUAUAUUCUUAUACUUUGUAGGUUGUUUCAUUUUAUUGAUAGUGUCC
Molecule: long non-coding RNA, 647 nt
Filed under: Marmota monax (woodchuck)
Lineage: Eukaryota; Metazoa; Chordata; Mammalia; Rodentia; Sciuridae
Source: RNAcentral